Long non-coding RNA from Jaculus jaculus (lesser Egyptian jerboa), 727 nucleotides. RefSeq lists it as uncharacterized. NCBI's taxonomy places the organism in Eukaryota, Metazoa, Chordata, Mammalia, Rodentia, Dipodidae. The transcript has 3 exons. The record is from RefSeq and is a predicted model, not a curated record.
CGCGGCCCCGCACCAGCCCGCCUGGCCCAGCCUGCCUGGCGGAGGCCCAAGCGAGAAGCGAGUGUUUAGGAUGCUCACGCAAGGCAGCUGCUUCCUUGCUCUUUCAACUUUCUGUUUUUCCUCUCCUCCUCCCACCGUGUGCCAGCAGGUGAAGCAACACUCCGGAAAACAUCCAAAAGAAAGAUAAAAUAAUCACCAGUAGGGAAAAAUAGCAGUAGAGUAAAUCCAUUACUGCAACCGUGCUAAUUAUGCCUGCUGUGGGGUGGGGGGAGAAGACAUGGAGAACAAUGAUCCUGAGUCCGUUAACAGAACGUAGCAAGACCAGAAGAGAGAAUCUACCCCUCGCACUUUUGCCAAGCCACAGGUGAAUCCACAGAGAAAUGUGGAGAUGAGCGAGAGUGCUGCUUCCAUGUUGUUCCUGAUAAUCAGCACCAGGAGAAGACAGCAAGAACCAAGAAGAUAAACCAGCCCUCACUCAUUAGCCAGGGCCCAGGUCAAACCACAGAGGAAUUGUCAAGAUGAGCCAAAAUGCUGCUUCUGUGGCAACCAGCACAGGGUGAUGGAGACAGAUGCUGAGGAUACUCAAACAUACAAAGCAGAAAUCCAGAAGCUGCUGGGAACUCAACACUGAAGUAGACUUAAAACAGACCUACCACAGUUCAGGGAAUUUUGCUGAAGAGGGGCAGAAAGAUUGUAACAGCCACAGAGUGGAACAGAAUGGUCAGAG